GGUCUAAUACUGGAUAUUGACAUUUCACCGCAUGGUGGUUUGUUGAAAGAUUUAUUGGUUUUGGAUGGACUCGCGGCCUAUCAGCUUGUUGGUGAGGUAAUGGCUCACCAAGGCGACGACGGGUAGCCGGCCUGAGAGGGUGACCGGCCACACUGGGACUGAGACACGGCCCAGACUCCUACGGGAGGCAGCAGUGGGGAAUAUUGCACAAUGGGCGAAAGCCUGAUGCAGCGACGCCGCGUGAGGGAUGACGGCCUUCGGGUUGUAAACCUCUUUCAGUAGGGAACAAGGCCAGCAUUUUUGUUGGUUGAGGGUACUUGCAGAAGAAGCGCCGGCUAACUACGUGCCAGCAGCCGCGGUAAUACGUAGGGCGCAAGCGUUAUCCGGAAUUAUUGGGCGUAAAGAGCUCGUAGGCGGUUUGUCGCGUCUGCCGUGAAAGUCCGGGGCUCAACCCCGGAUCUGCGGUGGGUACGGGCAGACUAGAGUGAUGUAGGGGAGACUGGAAUUCCUGGUGUAGCGGUGAAAUGCGCAGAUAUCAGGAGGAACACCGAUGGCGAAGGCAGGUCUCUGGGCAUUAACUGACGCUGAGGAGCGAAAGCAUGGGGAGCGAACAGGAUUAGAUACCCUGGUAGUCCAUGCCGUAAACGUCGGGGCACUAGGUG
This 662-nucleotide ribosomal RNA is filed under the name Arthrobacter psychrolactophilus. RNAcentral describes it as "bacterial SSU rRNA". It matches the Rfam family "Bacterial small subunit ribosomal RNA", at positions 160 to 822 of the family's 1533-position model. Lineage: Bacteria; Bacillati; Actinomycetota; Actinomycetes; Micrococcales; Micrococcaceae. The record is from RNAcentral.